Molecule: ribosomal RNA, 468 nt
Filed under: uncultured bacterium
Lineage: Bacteria
Description: partial 16S ribosomal RNA
Rfam family: Bacterial small subunit ribosomal RNA
Source: RNAcentral
GACGAACGCUGGCGGCGUGCUUAACACAUGCAAGUCGAACGGAAAGGCCCUGCUUUUGUGGGGUGCUCGAGUGGCGAACGGGUGAGUAACACGUGAGUAACCUGCCCUUGACUUUGGGAUAACUUCAGGAAACUGGGGCUAAUACCGGAUAGGAGCUCCUGCUGCAUGGUGGGGGUUGGAAAGUUUCGGCGGUUGGGGAUGGUCUCGCGGCUUAUCAGCUUGUUGGUGGGGUAGUGGCUUACCAAGGCUUUGACGGGUCGCCGGCCUGAGAGGGUGACCGGCCACAUUGGGACUGAGAUACGGCCCAGACUCCUACGGGAGGCAGCAGUGGGGAAUAUUGCACAAUGGGCGGAAGCCUGAUGCAGCAACGCCGCGUGCGGGAUGACGGCCUUCGGGUUGUAAACCGCUUUCGCCUGUGACGAAGCGUGAGUGGCGGUAAUGGGUAAAGAAGCACCGGCUAACUACGUG